GACUUGGUGGCUCAGCUGGUAGAGCCGUGGGACAGAAUCCCGAAGUUGUGAGUUCGAUCUUCACUCAGGUUC
This is a non-coding RNA of Gymnothorax javanicus (giant moray), 72 nucleotides long. NCBI's taxonomy places the organism in Eukaryota, Metazoa, Chordata, Actinopteri, Anguilliformes, Muraenidae. The record is from the annotation of a GenBank genome assembly.